RNAcentral lists this transfer RNA (72 nucleotides) under Sphaerodactylus townsendi. RNAcentral describes it as "tRNA-Ala". It matches the Rfam family "tRNA". From Rfam's summary of the family: Transfer RNA (tRNA) molecules are approximately 80 nucleotides in length. Their secondary structure includes four short double-helical elements and three loops (D, anti-codon, and T loops). The record is from RNAcentral. Lineage: Eukaryota; Metazoa; Chordata; Lepidosauria; Squamata; Sphaerodactylidae.
GGAGAGUGGCUCAGUGGUAGAGCACCUGUUUUGCAUGCGGGAGGUCCCCUGGUUCAAUUCUCUGCAUCUCCA